UGUUGCAGUUAAAGCUCGUAGUUGAAUUUCUGCUAAAAAUAACCGGUCUGCUUUUAAUAAAGGUGGUAUCUUGGUGUGUUUUUAGCAAUAAUGUCCUUUGAAAUGUUUUUUACUUUAUUGUAAUAAAUUAUAUUCAGGAUUUUUACUUUGAGAAAAUUAGAGUGUUUCUAGCAGGCUAACGCUUUGAAUACUGCAGCAUGGAAUAAUAAAAUAGGAUUUUGGUUCUACAUUAUUGGUUUUAAGAGCUAAAUUAAUGAUUGAUAGGGACAGUUGGGGGCAUUUGUAUUUAACUGUCAGAGGUGAAAUUCUUAGAUUUGUUAAAGACAAACUACUGCGAAAGAGAUUUGUUAAAGA
This 354-nucleotide ribosomal RNA is filed under the name Hepatozoon felis. RNAcentral describes it as "SSU rRNA". It matches the Rfam family "Eukaryotic small subunit ribosomal RNA", at positions 611 to 964 of the family's 1831-position model. Lineage: Eukaryota; Apicomplexa; Hepatozoidae. The record is from RNAcentral.